RNAcentral lists this ribosomal RNA (794 nucleotides) under uncultured bacterium. Its description in RNAcentral is "bacterial SSU rRNA". It matches the Rfam family "Bacterial small subunit ribosomal RNA", at positions 64 to 856 of the family's 1533-position model. The record is from RNAcentral.
CGACGCGGGCACUUGUGCCCGAGUGGCGAACGGGUGAGUAAUACAUAAGUAACCUGGCCUUUACAGGGGGAUAACUGCUGGAAACGGCAGCUAAGACCGCAUAGGUAGGGACACUGCAUGGUGACCGUAUUAAAAGUGCUGCAAGGCACUGGUAGAGGAUGGACUUAUGGCGCAUUAGCUGGUUGGUGAGGUAACGGCUCACCAAGGCGACGAUGCGUAGCCGACCUGAGAGGGUGACCGGCCACACUGGGACUGAGACACGGCCCAGACUCCUACGGGAGGCAGCAGUAGGGAAUUUUCGGCAAUGGGGGGAACCCUGACCGAGCAACGCCGCGUGAAGGAAGAAGGAAUUCGUUCUGUAAACUUCUGUUAUAAAGGAAGAAAGACGGAUGGAGGAAAUGACAUCCGAGUGACGGUACUUUAUGAGAAAGCCACGGCUAACUACGUGCCAGCAGCCGCGGUAAUACGUAGGUGGCAAGCGUUAUCCGGAAUUAUUGGGCGUAAAGAGGGAGCAGGCGGCAGCAAAGGUCUGUGGUGAAAGACUGAAGCUUAACUUCAGUGAGCCAUAGAAACCGGGCAGCUAGAGUGCAGGAGAGGAUCGUGGAAUUCCAUGUGUAGCGGUGAAAUGCGUAGAUAUAUGGAGGAACACCAGUGGCGAAGGCGACGAUCUGGCCUGCAACUGACGCUCAGUCCCGAAAGCGUGGGGAGCAAAUAGGAUUAGAUACCCUAGUAGUCCACGCCGUAAACGAUGAGUACUAAGUGUUGGAAGUCAAAUUUUCAGUGCUGCAGUUAAC